AUGGAAUGCUCAUUUCAGUAGCACUAAAAUUGGAAUGAUACAGAAGAUUGGCUUGGCUCCUGAGCAAAUGACACACAAAUCUGUGAAGUGUUCCAUAUUUUA
This is a small nuclear RNA of Vulpes vulpes (red fox), 102 nucleotides long. The record is from Ensembl. NCBI's taxonomy places the organism in Eukaryota, Metazoa, Chordata, Mammalia, Carnivora, Canidae.